Molecule: ribosomal RNA, 877 nt
Filed under: uncultured eukaryote
Lineage: Eukaryota
Description: SSU rRNA
Rfam family: Eukaryotic small subunit ribosomal RNA
Source: RNAcentral
CGGUGUUCAACUGGCGUGUCCGCGGGACGUCCUGCCGGUGGGCUUAGCCCGCAAGGGCGGCCCAACUUCAAAUCCCAUCGCGGUGCUCUUCACUGAGUGUCGAGGUGGGCCGGCACGUUUACUUUGAACAAAUUAGAGUGCUUAAAGCAGGCUAAAACUUCGCCUGAAUACUGUGUGCAUGGAAUAAUGGAAUAGGACCUCGGUUCUAUUUUGUUGGUUUUCGGAACCCCGAGGUAAUGAUUAAUAGGAACGGAUGGGGGCAUUCGUAUUGCGACGUUAGAGGUGAAAUUCUUGGAUCGUCGCAAGACGGACAGAAGCGAAAGCAUUUGCCAAAAACGCUUUCAUUGAUCAAGAACGAAAGUUAGAGGUUCGAAGGCGAUCAGAUACCGCCCUAGUUCUAACCAUAAACGAUGCCAGCUAGCGAUCCGUCGACGUUCCUCCGAUGACUCGACGGGCAGCUUCCGGGAAACCAAAGCUUUUGGGUUCCGGGGGAAGUAUGGUUGCAAAGCUGAAACUUAAAGGAAUUGACGGAAGGGCACCACCAGGAGUGGAGCCUGCGGCUUAAUUUGACUCAACACGGGAAACCUCACCAGGCCCGGACACCGGAAGGAUUGACGGAUUGAGAGCUCUUUCUUGAUUCGGUGGGUGGUGGUGCAUGGCCGUUCUUAGUUGGUGGAGCGAUUUGUCUGGUUAAUUCCGAUAACGAACGAGACUCUAGCCUGCUAACUAGGCGUAUUUUCGACAUCUCAAAGGUCCGUCGUCCCGGCCCUCGGGUCGUGGGCGUGCGCGAUUUUUACUGUCGGCGUACUAUCAAUUCUUCUUAGAGGGACAGGUGGCUUCUAGCCGCACGAGAUUGAGCAAUAACAGGUCUGUGAUG